GAUGAACGCUGGCGGCGUGCCUAACACAUGCAAGUCGAGCGGACGGACCAUGAGCUUGCGGCGCGCACGUGAGCGGAGCGCGUGUGAAUAACGCGUGUAUAACGCACCUAUAUGUCGGGUAUAAUUUCGGAAAACCGGAGCUAAUACCAGAGAAUAUUUUGCAGCGCAGGGGGCAAAGGUAAAAGACGGCGGUGCUGGAUCUAAUAGAGGGAUCCGCGCUGGAUUAGGUGGUUGGUAAGGUAAUGGCUUACCAAGGCAACGAUGCGUAGCCGACGGCAGAGGCUGAUCGCCCACACUGGAGCUGGGCCACGGUCCAGACUCCUGCGGGAGGCAGCAGUCGGGAAUCUUACGCAAUGGGCGAAAGUCUUACAGAGCGACCGCGCGUGAGUGAUGACGGUCUUCCGUUCGUAAAGCUCUGUUAUUAGGUAUGAACCGCUGUGUCCGUAACUGUGGCCAUCUUGACGGUACCUAGUCAGAAAGCCCCGGCUAACUACGUG
This 497-nucleotide ribosomal RNA is filed under the name uncultured bacterium. RNAcentral describes it as "partial 16S ribosomal RNA". It matches the Rfam family "Bacterial small subunit ribosomal RNA", at positions 28 to 507 of the family's 1533-position model. The record is from RNAcentral.